GACGAACGCUGGCGGCGUGCUUAACACAUGCAAGUCGAACGGAAAGGCCCUGCUUUUGUGGGGUGCUCGAGUGGCGAACGGGUGGGUAACACGUGAGUAACCUGCCCUUGACUUUGGGAUAACUUCAGGAAACUGGGGCUAAUACCGGAUAGGAGCUCCUGCUGCAUGGUGGGGGUUGGAAAGUUUCGGCGGUUGGGGAUGGACUCGCGGCUUAUCAGCUUGUUGGUGGGGUAGGGGCUUACCAAGGCUGUGGCGGGUAUGCGGCCUGAGAGGGUGACCGGCCACAUUGGGACUGAGAGACGGCCCAGACUCCUACGGGAGGCAGCAGUGGGGAAUAUAGCACAAUGGGCGGAAGCCUGAUGCAGCAACGCCGCGUGCGGGAUGACGGACUUCGGGUUGUAAACCGCUUUCGCCUGUGACGAAGCGAGAGUGACGGUAAUGGGUAAAGAAGCACCGGCUAACUACGUG
RNAcentral lists this ribosomal RNA (468 nucleotides) under uncultured bacterium. RNAcentral describes it as "partial 16S ribosomal RNA". It matches the Rfam family "Bacterial small subunit ribosomal RNA", at positions 28 to 507 of the family's 1533-position model. The record is from RNAcentral.